CAGAGGAAGGUAGAGGCCAGCCUGGUCUA
RNAcentral lists this non-coding RNA (29 nucleotides) under Cricetulus griseus (Chinese hamster). Lineage: Eukaryota; Metazoa; Chordata; Mammalia; Rodentia; Cricetidae. The record is from RNAcentral.